UACGAAGGGGGCUAGCGUUGCUCGGAAUUACUGGGCGUAAAGUGUGCGCAGGCGGCAGAGCAAGUCGAGUGUGAAAGCCCCGGGCUUAACUUGGGAAUUGCGCUCGAAACUACUUUGCUGGAGUGUGGCAGAGGAAGGUGGAAUUCCAGGUGUAGCGGUGAAAUGCGUAGAGAUCUGGAGGAACACCGAUGGCGAAGGCAGCCUUCUGGGCCAACACUGACGCUCAUGCACGAAAGCGUGGGGAGCAAACAGG
This 253-nucleotide ribosomal RNA is filed under the name uncultured bacterium. RNAcentral describes it as "partial 16S ribosomal RNA". It matches the Rfam family "Bacterial small subunit ribosomal RNA", at positions 524 to 776 of the family's 1533-position model. The record is from RNAcentral.